This 368-nucleotide long non-coding RNA is filed under the name Ananas comosus (pineapple). RNAcentral's name for it is "long non-coding RNA (ACOM_LNC029226)". Lineage: Eukaryota; Viridiplantae; Streptophyta; Magnoliopsida; Poales; Bromeliaceae. The record is from RNAcentral.
ACGGCCAAAAACCACAAAUCUCGAUGCAAUAAAAAUAAAUGCGAAAAAUAAAAAGCACACCGAGAUUUACGUGGAAAAACUCCAACUUGGAGAAAAACCCACGGGACCAACACGCGAAAAAAAUAAUUCACUAAGAAAAAAGAUUACAAGGUGAUUACCGACUCCACGGACUCAACCUCUCUUAACCUCCUAUGAAUCUUCGCGCUACCCUCCGGGUUGUCCACGCCCUCACGUUCGAAUCCACGAACGCCUCCAUUUCGAAUUUACGAAGCUUCAAUCACGCAGAAUCGACGCCACUCGAAUCCACAAGCCAACGAUCCGAAUCCACGAACCGCCUUUGUUCACGCCGAAUCCACGACGCCGUUCAU